This 799-nucleotide ribosomal RNA is filed under the name uncultured Mycobacterium sp. RNAcentral describes it as "bacterial SSU rRNA". It matches the Rfam family "Bacterial small subunit ribosomal RNA", at positions 560 to 1356 of the family's 1533-position model. Lineage: Bacteria; Bacillati; Actinomycetota; Actinomycetes; Mycobacteriales; Mycobacteriaceae. The record is from RNAcentral.
GUAAAGAGCUCGUAGGUGGUUUGUCGCGUUGUUCGUGAAAUCUCACGGCUUAACUGUGAGCGUGCGGGCGAUGCGGGCAGACUUGAGUACUGCAGGGGAGACUGGAAUUCCUGGUGUAGCGGUGGAAUGCGCAGAUAUCAGGAGGAACACCGGUGGCGAAGGCGGGUCUCUGGGCAGUAACUGACGCUGAGGAGCGAAAGCGUGGGGAGCGAACAGGAUUAGAUACCCUGGUAGUCCACGCCGUAAACGGUGGGUACUAGGUGUGGGUUUCCUUCCUUGGGAUCCGUGCCGUAGCUAACGCAUUAAGUACCGCGCCUGGGGAGUACGGCCGCAAGGCUAAAACUCAAAGAAAUUGACGGGGGCCCGCAGAAGCGGCGGAGCAUGUGGAUUAAUUCGAUGCAACGCGAAGAACCUUACCUGGGUUUGACACUGCACAGGACGCCGGCAGAGAUGUCGGUUCCCUUGUGGCCUGUGUGCAGGUGGUGCAUGGCUGUCGUCAGCUCGUGUCGUGAGAUGUUGGGUUAAGUCCCGCAACGAGCGCAACCCUUGUCUCAUGUUGCCAGCGGGUAAUGCCGGGGACUCGUGAGAGACUGCCGGGGUCAACUCGGAGGAAGGUGGGGAUGACGUCAAGUCAUCAUGCCCCUUAUGUCCAGGGCUUCACACAUGCUACAAUGGCCGGUACAAAGGGCUGCGAUGCCGCGAGGUUAAGCGAAUCCUUUUAGAGCCGGUCUCAGUUCGGAUCGGGGUCUGCAACUCGACCCCGUGAAGUCGGAGUCGCUAGUAAUCGCAGAUCAGCAAC